Molecule: long non-coding RNA, 921 nt
Organism: Sorghum bicolor (sorghum)
Lineage: Eukaryota; Viridiplantae; Streptophyta; Magnoliopsida; Poales; Poaceae
Exons: 7
Source: RefSeq, a predicted model, not a curated record
CCCAGCCCCACGCCCAGCCCCGCGCGCCGCCCAGCCCCACGCCCAGCCACAAGCGAGACGAGGAGAAGAAGCACCCCGGGAGCGAUGGCAAGGCGUACCACCACGUUUGGCCGCCCAUGGAAUUUGGAUGGCGAGUUGUGGUGGGGUCACUGAUCGGGUUCUUCGGCGCGGCGUGUGGCAGCGUCGGCGGUGGCGGCAUCUUCGUCCCAAGUCAUCUACCGCAAUAUCCAAGUGCAUGAUCAUGGGAGGGUCUGUUUCAACAGUCUACUACAACCUGAAGCUGAAGCACCCGAGUCUGGACAUGCCGCUGAUCGAGUACGACCUCGCCCUGCUCAUGCAACCUAUGCUCAUGCUUGGGGUCAGCAUUGGCGUCAUUUUCAAUGUUAUUUUCCCCAACUGGCUCAUCACGGCUCUCCUCAUAACCAUUUUCCUAGUCACAUCAACUAAGGCGUAUCUCAAGGGCUUCGAAACUUGGAAGAAGAGACCAUAAAGAAAAGGGAGGACGCAAGAAGACAGGAGCAGAUAUGUCAGGAACCAGAGCAUGCAAUCCCUAUAGAAUCAGAUGCCCCAGCUGAUAAGGCGAAAUCCCCGACAGAUGAAGCGACAUCAGUUCUGAAGAACAUUUAUUGGAAGGAGUUUGGUCUUCUUGCAUUCGUUUGGGUGGCACGACCCGACCCUGUCGCCAGGAUCGCACGGCGUGCUAUGCACACCUAGACCGUCGCCGGGAUCGCAAGCUGGGGCGUCCCAACCCUCGCUGGCAUCGCACACUGGACGUCGCCGUGAGCUGUCUUGGGAGUUGUUUUUAUGUAUUAAAUUUGUGAACUUGGAAUAAUAUGUACUCUUGAACGUGUGGUUUGUAAUAUAUUUUAAAUUUCGUAUAAAUUUGGUCAUUUGUGAUAUAUAUAAAUGUGGUUUGUGAUA